RNAcentral lists this ribosomal RNA (2052 nucleotides) under Triticum aestivum (bread wheat). Its description in RNAcentral is "partial small subunit ribosomal RNA". The record is from RNAcentral. Lineage: Eukaryota; Viridiplantae; Streptophyta; Magnoliopsida; Poales; Poaceae.
AUGUUCUACUCGCACCAGCUCCUCGCGCGGAAGGCGCCGCUCGGCCAGAUAUGGUGCGUCCCCUCCCCCUCCCCCUCCCCUCCCUCCCCGCCGGCCGCCGCCGCUCCCGUCCCCUCGGUCGCGGCCGCCGGCCACCGAUUCCGCCUGUCCCGCGUUUCUCCGCUCGGUCCGGGGCGUUUCCGGGCGCCCCCGUUCGGUCCGCUCCCAAUGCGGCGGGCUCCCCGUCGCCUCGCCUCGAUCUGCUCUGACGCUCCUCUGCUCCUCUGCCCCCGCCGCAGGAUGGCCGCCACGCUCCACGCCAAGAUCAACCGCAAGCGCCUCGUCAAGCUCGACAUCAUCAAAAUCUGCGAGGAGAUCCUGAACCCGUCGGUGCCCAUGGCGCUCAGGCUCUCCGGGAUCCUCAUGGGCGGCGUGGUGAUCGUGUACGAGAGGAAGGUGAAGCUUCUCUACGAUGAUGUGUCCCGUCUCCUGAUUGAGAUCAACGAGGCAUGGAAGAUCAGGCCGGCCGUCGACCACACCGUCCUCCCCAAGGGCAAGGCUCAAGCCAAGUAUGAAGCAGUAACACUGCCAGAGAACGCGGUGGAUAUGGAGGUGGAGCAGCCCGUGUUUUUCACAGAUACUUAUACUACUAGGUUCCGGGGAAUGCGCCUGGAGGAUUUGGAUGAACAAUAUGUCAAUGUCAACCUGGAUGAUGAUGACAUCUCUCGCGCCGACCGUCAUCAUCAAGCUGAGGCAGUCAACAUUACCCUGGUCGAUAAUUUUGAGUCUGGUCUUGCUGAAACUGACAUCUUCAAUCGUUUUGAGAGAUUUGACAUAGCAGAUGAUGACACCACAGUCCAUAUUACUCUCGAUGGACACCCAGAGGCUCCAAGUACACUAGUUCCCUCUCCACCAAGGCCAGAAGACCCUCCUCAACAACAGGAACAGUGUGCUGCCCCAUCCCCCAUCCGCGAAGAACCUCAACAAGGGGAUUCAUUAAAGGAGCAAGAGGAGCAGAAGACGACGGAGCAACAACCAACUAAACGAGCAAAGAGGAAAGCACGCGGCAAGGGCCCCCAAGUGAUCAUAGAUAACCAGAUAAUGAUCCCAGGAAAUGUAUAUCAGUCAUGGUUGAAGGACCCAUCAAGCCUCACCUCUAAAAGGCGUCAAGUCAGGAGUAAAAUCAAUCCUAUUAAGGCAAUUAAGAUAGGCGAGCUCAUGGACUUGCCACCGUCUGCCCUAAUGUCUUUCUCCAAUGACUCACAAGAGAUAUAUUACCCUCAGCAGCUUAUGCAGCUCUGGAAGGAAUGCACCAAAGUCAAGACCCCAAAGCCCUCAUCUUCUUCAGGAGAUAAAUCAUCAUCAUCAUCACAAGAAAAGCAGCCGAGAAACCCUUCGCCUCAGCCUCAAGGAGAUCAGAAUGAAAUGGGAGCUCAGCCAAUGGACUUCACACCAAUGGACUUCACAGAUGGCAUUGAAAAGAUGAGAGCAAACAAGAGUGGAGAAUUUGAAGGUGUUUUUGAUGGUCCGCAUGGUGACCCUAGUGUUACACCUGGAAGUCCUGGGCUAAGUCGCAGGUCAGCUUCAAGCUCUGGUGGCUCUGGAAGGGGGGCAUUUCUGCCAUUGGAUCCAGAAAUACAGUUACAAUCUGGAAGUGGAAGGGCCAAGAGGAGGCAGCUUUCAUCUGGACGAAGCUUGGGGAACCUUGAUCCAGUUGAAGAGGAAUUCCCAAUGGAGCAAGAAGAGAGGGAAUUCAAGCUGAGAAGGCUUUCAGAUAUGGAACCAACUCCUGAUCUUAUGGUAGAAACAGAACCCACUCAAACCCCGUUCAUGAAGCAAUCCAGUCCUCCCGAUCACAUCACUGAAUCAAUUCACUCGUACCUAAAGCUCCACUUCGAGAGCCCGGAUGCCCCGCCAUCUGAAUCGCUAAGCCAGCUAACUUAUGGGAUGAACACAGCACAGGCUGCCCGCCUAUUCUAUCAAACAUGUGUCUUGGCAACGCUCGAUCGCAUCAAGGUCACACAGGUGGAACCAUACGGACCCAUCCUGAUCUCGAGGGGGGCCAACAUGUGA